Molecule: long non-coding RNA, 1817 nt
Organism: Mastomys coucha (southern multimammate mouse)
Lineage: Eukaryota; Metazoa; Chordata; Mammalia; Rodentia; Muridae
Exons: 3
Source: RefSeq, a predicted model, not a curated record
AAGGCAGGAGCUGACGCAGAGCCCGUGGAGGGGUGCUGCUUACUGGCUUGCUCUCCAUGGCUUGCUUGCUCAACCUGUCUUCAUAUAGAACCCAGGGCCCCCUGCCACAAUAGGCUGGUCGUCCUCCAUGAAUCACUAAUUAAGAAAAUACCCUACAGGCUUGCCCUAUCAUCUAAUCUUAUUGAGGCAUUUUCCUCAAUUAAGGCUUCCUCCUUUCCAGGCUGUGGCCUCAUCAUCUCUCCCCAUCAAGGGAAUGGCUACUAUGAGCUAAUUUCAUCCCACAAGACCACAUCAUUUCAAAGUUCCACCACCUCCCCAAAGUGCCACGGACAGACGGCCAAACCUUUAACAUGUGGUCCUUUGAGAGGUGUUUGUCUAAACAUUUGCAGUAGGAUUCCUAGGUUGAGAACACUCUGGAAAGGCCAAAGCACAUAUUUAAUAACCACAAGUCAGCUGAAUUAACGUGUUACGGCAAAACUGAUUUCCUGAUGUGUGGGGGACAAGCGAUUGUCUCACAUGAAGAUUUUGAGAGAAAGUCAAGAGGCUGAUUCUGGGGACGGCAAAUCGGGAUAAGUAAGCAGAAAGAAGAGCUGGGCACCUAACAGCGGUGGUAUAAAAGUCGUCACCCCAAGGACCUUGACCACCCACUCCGUAUCCUAGUGGAUAAACCACCAUCAGUGUCUCUGACAUCACCUCAGUCAUCCUGUUCACACAAUGAAGACAAGGGUGGUCUCUCCCAAUCUUACGGUGAGAAAAAUGAUGAGAAAACAGAGGUGCCACUUUUACAGUGUCUUGAGCUUGGUGGAAAAGUAAGAUAAUCCAUGUGUGCUAAUUCAUAAUACCCUUUAGAAAUGGAUUUAUUGUUCUUCCAUGAAAGCACACGAUGUCACAGGAGCACGCACGUGGCGUGGCAUGUAUGGAGAUCGGAGGUCAACUUCAGGCAGUUAGUUCCCUGCUUUCCGUUCUGUGUGGGUUCUGGUUGUCAGGCUUGCCUGGUGAGCAUUUUAGCUACUGAACUGUCUUGCUAGCCCAGAUUCCUACUACUCUUAUUGCAUUUUUAGAAUAAUAACAGCAAGAAAUAGUUUGAGGAGGAUGAUCUCAAUUUCUAAAAGUUCAUCAUCCCAGCUGUAGUACAUGACGCUUUCUGAGAUCCCCUUCCUUGGAGGUGGCACACUGGUGGGCACCAUGGCUCAUGGAGUUAAGAAUCUGAGGCUGAAUCUAGAGUUGUUGGAUUAACAGUCUCAAAGGAAGCCUUUCUGUGUGCUAUUUCCAUCCUGAGAGAUGCUAACGACAGUCUAGAUGUUGUAGAAUCAAAACGAAGUUCAGACAGCAUGCUAAGGACUGCCAACAGCAAAUUGUAUAUAAAAAAACCCUCAUUGAUUCUGAAAAGCUAUUUCCAAGGUGUCUUAUCUCCCGAACAUUAACCAUUCAUCAGGAAAACCCAUUUACAUCCUAAUUGGAGCAGAAUUCACAAGCAGGAGUAAAGAUGUUGUCGGUUUGGUAAUGUUCCCAAAAUGACCUCCUUAGCUCUGUGGUCUCUGCGAGCAUUUCUAAGAAGGCAAUGGAGAUUAUUGAUUGAUUAUUGAUUUAUGGACUUAUUCUGUUAUGAAUUCUUAUUUAUGUACUGUGUCACUUGCCAAAUCAAGGCUUUUGUCAAUAAGAACAUUCUAUUCAAUCUUUAUCUAUUAGCACCCUGACACAAAACAUCUAACAUCACCCUGGCCACUUACUUCUGUCUAUCACAGCAAAGAGAGGAUGCAAUGAAUUGGAGGGAUGGGAGUAUCAUAAGGCUUUUAAAAAAAAUCUGUAAUGGCAAA